This 450-nucleotide ribosomal RNA is filed under the name uncultured bacterium. RNAcentral's name for it is "bacterial SSU rRNA". It matches the Rfam family "Bacterial small subunit ribosomal RNA", at positions 355 to 825 of the family's 1533-position model. The record is from RNAcentral.
UCGGGAAUUUUUGGGGCAAUGGGGGAAACCCUGACCCAGCAACGCCGCGUGAAGGAUGAAGUAUUUCGGUAUGUAAACUUCGAAAGAAUAGGAAGAAUAAAUGACGGUACUAUUUAUAAGGUCCGGCUAACUACGUGCCAGCAGCCGCGGUAAUACGUAGGGACCAAGCGUUGUUCGGAUUUACUGGGCGUAAAGGGCGCGUAGGCGGCAUGACAAGUCACUUGUGAAAUCUCUGGGCUUAACCCAGAACGGCCAAGUGAUACUGUCGCGCUAGAGUGCAGAAGGGGCAAUCGGAAUUCUUGGUGUAGCGGUGAAAUGCGUAGAUAUCAAGAGGAACACCUGAGGUGAAGACGGGUUGCUGGGCUGACACUGACGCUGAGGCGCGAAAGCCAGGGGAGCAAACGGGGAUUAGAUACCCUUGUAGUCCCUGAGCGGGCUGGCAAGGCGCAU